GUGGGGAAUCUUGCGCAAUGGGCGAAAGCCUGACGCAGCCAUGCCGCGUGAAUGAUGAAGGUCUUAGGAUUGUAAAAUUCUUUCACCGGGGACGAUAAUGACGGUACCCGGAGAAGAAGCUCCGGCUAACUUCGUGCCAGCAGCCGCGGUAAUACGAAGGGGGCUAGCGUUGCUCGGAAUUACUGGGCGUAAAGGGCGCGUAGGCGGACAGCUUAGUCAGAGGUGAAAGCCCAGGGCUCAACCUUGGAAUUGCCUUUGAUACUGGCUGUCUUGAGUUUGGGAGAGGUGAGUGGAACUCCGAGUGUAGAGGUGAAAUUCGUAGAUAUUCGGAAGAACACCAGUGGCGAAGGCGACUCACUGGCCCGUUACUGACGCUGAGGCGCGAAAGCGUGGGGAGCAAACAGGAUUAGAAACCCUAGUAGUCC
RNAcentral lists this ribosomal RNA (425 nucleotides) under uncultured bacterium. RNAcentral's name for it is "partial 16S ribosomal RNA". It matches the Rfam family "Bacterial small subunit ribosomal RNA", at positions 354 to 796 of the family's 1533-position model. The record is from RNAcentral.